UCUGCCUACGAGUAUGAUCAUAAAAGAGAUUGAUGAAUUAGAUAAAAAGAUGUAUUGGAGAAAGCUUAAAAAGAAGAAGAUCGGCUCUUAAAUUGAAGUGUCCAACAUUCAGAAAUUAAAAACUAAUGUCACAUCUGUACCAUAAACCUCCUCAAACGGUUUAGACAAACUUUUUUCUUAUAUAAAGGCCUAGAAAAAUCUUUCCACUCCAAU
RNAcentral lists this long non-coding RNA (213 nucleotides) under Elaeis guineensis (African oil palm). Its description in RNAcentral is "long non-coding RNA (EGUI_LNC001504)". The record is from RNAcentral. Lineage: Eukaryota; Viridiplantae; Streptophyta; Magnoliopsida; Arecales; Arecaceae.